UCCCCUGUAGCUCAACGGCAGAGCGGCGCCCUGUUAAGGCGAAGGUUCCAGGUUCGAGUCCUGGCAGGGGAG
Molecule: transfer RNA, 72 nt
Filed under: Umezawaea endophytica
Lineage: Bacteria; Bacillati; Actinomycetota; Actinomycetes; Pseudonocardiales; Pseudonocardiaceae
Description: tRNA-Asn
Rfam family: tRNA
About the family: Transfer RNA (tRNA) molecules are approximately 80 nucleotides in length. Their secondary structure includes four short double-helical elements and three loops (D, anti-codon, and T loops). Further hydrogen bonds mediate the characteristic L-shaped molecular structure. tRNAs have two regions of fundamental functional importance: the anti-codon, which is responsible for specific mRNA codon recognition, and the 3' end, to which the tRNAs corresponding amino acid is attached (by aminoacyl-tRNA synthetases). tRNAs cope with the degeneracy of the genetic code in two manners: having more than one tRNA (with a specific anti-codon) for a particular amino acid; and 'wobble' base-pairing, i.e. permitting non-standard base-pairing at the 3rd anti-codon position.
Source: RNAcentral